GAAUGCUCGGGGUAUGCCUAACACAUGCUAGUUUAAAGAAAAUAAAUUUAUUUUAUAAUCUUAGCGCAUAGGUGAGUAAAAUGUAAGAACCAGCCUAUAAAUAGUAUACUAAAUAUUUAAGUAUCACUAAGAUAUAUGGGUUGAUAUAAAUAAUAUAUUAUGUUUUUUUGUUAAUUUUUAUAUUUUUUCGGAUUUAUAAAAACCUUUAAAACUAAUAUAUACAAAAAUAUUUAUAUUUAAUGUGUAUAUUAUUAUAUAUUUAAAUAAAAUAAUAUUCUAUAAAAUUUUUAAAAUUAAAGUAAUUUUAAAAUAUAUAAAAGAUUUACUUAUCGUUUAUAGACGGGCUUACAAAGGAUUUAGAUAGUUGGUAAGGUAAUAGCUUACCAAGUCGAUUAUCCUUAGCUGGUUUGGGAGAAUGAUCAGCCACAUUGGGUCUGAAACAACACCCCAACUAUCGAAGUGAUGGCAGCAGUGGGG
Molecule: ribosomal RNA, 477 nt
Filed under: uncultured bacterium
Lineage: Bacteria
Description: partial 16S ribosomal RNA
Rfam family: Bacterial small subunit ribosomal RNA
Source: RNAcentral